AAUGAACAACUACAUCAUUUCAUUUGCAUAACAGGUACGAUAAAAAAUCCAAACAGUACCAAACAUCAAAACCAAGUCAACACUAAACAAUGUUUUGUGCAUAAUGUAAAUGAUUACCUGGCAUUGGUGUGUGUUAGUCCCAAUUGAUCAAUAAUGAAAAUGAUUUCCGGAGCAUCAAUGUCAUGGUCCACCUUAUCAGCAGUAGCCUGGAAACCUGGAUUAUUUUGUCCACCUCAUCAGCAGUAGCCUGAAAUCCUCAUGCGACAAUCUGGUAAGGGCUACCCCAAGUUUUCUCUUCUCUUCGGUCGACAUUUUUCUGAAACAAUGUUCUCAAGAUAAGAUAUGUUUGUUGGAGAAGCAUUCAUAUGCAACUCUGUUCUUGCACAAAAACACACAGAGUCGCUCUUUCUAUCCACAUGCACUCACACAUGGCCAUAGCAUACACACAUCAAUAAUACAGAUUUUACAAAUAAAUUUUUAUUACAUUACAUCAACAUGUAGAUGUCAAACAUAUUAAACUAAGAUACAAUGUUACUGAACAACUUGCACUUUUGAACAACUAUUUCUCGGAGUUCUUCCAAAUGUAUAUCAACCAUAAAGCUGAAAACAAAAGAUCAUAACGGAGUCCAUUAUAAGUUUAGCCAUUGAAAUAAACUAUAUCUACAAAGGCUUCCAUUCGAUGUUAAUCAUAUGCAUAUAAAAAGGUUUGAAGUCAUAAAUCAGCAACAACAAAAAAAG
Molecule: long non-coding RNA, 738 nt
Filed under: Prunus persica (peach)
Lineage: Eukaryota; Viridiplantae; Streptophyta; Magnoliopsida; Rosales; Rosaceae
Description: long non-coding RNA (PPER_LNC005725)
Source: RNAcentral